RNAcentral lists this ribosomal RNA (287 nucleotides) under uncultured bacterium. RNAcentral's name for it is "partial 16S ribosomal RNA". It matches the Rfam family "Bacterial small subunit ribosomal RNA", at positions 333 to 631 of the family's 1533-position model. The record is from RNAcentral.
UUCCGCCUACGGGGGGCAGCAGUCGAGAAUCAUUCACAAUGGGGGAAACCCUGAUGGUGCGACGCCGCGUGGGGGAAUGAAGGUCUUCGGAUUGUAAACCCCUGUCAUGUGGGAGCAAAUUAAAAAGAUAGAACCACAAGAGGAAGAGACGGAUAACUCUGUGCCAGCAGCCGCGGUAAUACAGAGGUCUCGAGCGUUGUUCGGAAUCACUGGGCGUAAAGCGGGCGUAGGCUGUUUCGUAAGUCGUGUGUGAAAGGCGCGGGCUCAACCCGGGGACGGCAAAUGAU